UAAGGCUAGACACUGCAUCAUUCUUUUCAUAAAGCAAGGACUGGAGGCAUGUGGGGCCUGUAGCCAUGACGACAAUAAAACAGCUCCAAGCCUGAGCUGUAAGUAAGAAACUCGGCCUUGUCUCCAACCCUUCCUGCUCACAACUCGACUCUACAUGCUCUCUGGAGAGGGGGCUGGGUGCUCAUGAAUGAUCUAUUGAGCAGAGAAAAAUCUACCUACGCAAGCUAGUGUGAGCAGUUACAAUCACACAGACUUAACCCUUCACAAAAAUGGGAAGAAAACCCAAACCCAACCACUGCAUAAGCAAUGUAUCCAGGGUGCUCCUGACCACUGUGCACCCCCACAGUACUGUCCCAAGGCCCCUGCAUCCCACGUGUGGCACUGGAGAACUGGAGAGAAACUGCACGGCUGUGCUGGGAAUGUCUAACUUGUCCCUUCUGGGAAGGGUCAGAUGCAAGCCUGAAAAUUGGGAAAGUUCAUAUUUACUGCAUACUUCUGUAUACAAGGGCUAUACUAUCAGCAUCUGGAAAAACCUACUUUACCACAGUUAUAAGAACAAGUCUAUAAAGUAAAUGAGAUGUGUCUGAGGCAGAAUUGAGGACAAGAAACAGCCUAAAAAUUACUGUCUCUAGAGUCAUAAGCAAAAUAAAAUGGUUUGGUUUGCUGAAUGAAUAACAUUAUUAAACAAAUAACAAUCUUUAUAUCCAGUCUAUCAAUAGAACACA
Long non-coding RNA from Passer domesticus (house sparrow), 725 nucleotides. RefSeq lists it as uncharacterized. Lineage: Eukaryota; Metazoa; Chordata; Aves; Passeriformes; Passeridae. The record is from RefSeq and is a predicted model, not a curated record. The transcript is spliced from 3 exons.